RNAcentral lists this ribosomal RNA (231 nucleotides) under uncultured bacterium. Its description in RNAcentral is "partial 16S ribosomal RNA". It matches the Rfam family "Bacterial small subunit ribosomal RNA", at positions 89 to 334 of the family's 1533-position model. The record is from RNAcentral.
AGUAAAGUGGCGACCGGGUGAGUAACACGUGACUAACCUACCUUCGAGUGGGGGAUAACAUCGGGAAACCGAUGCUAAUACCGCAUAACAUCGCAAGAUCAAAGCAGCAAUGCGCUUGAAGAGGGGGUCGCGGCUGAUUAGCUAGUUGGCGGGGUAACGGCCCACCAAGGCGAAGAUCGGUAGCCGGCCUGAGAGGGCGCACGGCCACACUGGAACUGAAACACGGUCCAG